GACGAACGCUGGCGGCGUGCUUAACACAUGCAAGUCGAACGGAAAGGCCCUGCUUUUGUGGGGUGCUCGAGUGGCGAACGGGUGAGUAACACGUGAGUAACCUGCCCUUGACUUUGGGAUAACUUCAGGAAACUGGGGCUAAUACCGGAUAGGAUCUCCUGCUGCAUGUUGGGGGUUGGAAAGUUUCGGCGGUUGGGGAUGGACUCGCGGCUUAUCAGCUUGUUGGUGGGGUAGUGGCUUACCAAGGCUGUGACGGGUAGCCGGCCUGAGAGGGGGACCGGCCACAUUGGGACUGAGAUACGGCGCAGAAUCGUACGGGAGGCAGCAGGGGGGAAUAUUGCACAAUGGCGGGAAGCCUGAUGCAGCAACGCCGCGUGCGGGAUGACGGCCUUCGGGUUGUAAACCGCUUUCGACUGUGACGAAGAGGGAGUGACGGUAAUGGGUAAAGAAGCACCGGCUAACUACGUG
Molecule: ribosomal RNA, 468 nt
Filed under: uncultured bacterium
Lineage: Bacteria
Description: partial 16S ribosomal RNA
Rfam family: Bacterial small subunit ribosomal RNA
Source: RNAcentral